RNAcentral lists this non-coding RNA (119 nucleotides) under unidentified eubacterium SCB49. RNAcentral's name for it is "Bacteroidete tryptophan peptide leader RNA". It matches the Rfam family "Bacteroidete tryptophan peptide leader RNA". Lineage: Bacteria; Pseudomonadati; Bacteroidota. The record is from RNAcentral.
UUAUUAUAUUUGAAACAUAAUUAUGCAAACAACAAACAAUCUUACUUGGUGGUGGAAUAACUCUCGACAAAAAUCGUGAGCUAAGCACUAUUUGGUAUAUAUCAUACAAAAGGCUUGUC